CCUACGGGUGGCUGCAGUGAGGAAUAUUGGUCAAUGGGCGCGAGCCUGAACCAGCCAAGUAGCGUGAAGGAUGACUGCCCUACGGGUUGUAAACUUCUUUUAUAAAGGAAUAAAGUGAGGCACGUGUGCCUUUUUGUGUGUACUUUAUGAAUAAGGAUCGGCUAACUCCGUGCCAGAAGCCGCGGUAAUACGGAGGAUCCGAGCGUUAUCCGGAUUUAUUGGGUUUAAAGGGAGCGCAGAUGGGUUGUUAAGUCAGUUGUGAAAGUUUGCGGCUCAACCGUAAAAUUGCAAUUGAUACUGGCAGCCUUGAGUACAGGUGAGGUAGGCGGAAUUCGUGGUGUAGCGGUGAAAUGCUUAGAUAUCACGAAGAACUCCGAUUGCGAAGGCAGCCUACCAAACUGCCACUGACAUUGAUGCUCGAAAGUGUGGGUAUCAAACAGGAUUAGAUACCCGGGUAGUC
Molecule: ribosomal RNA, 460 nt
Filed under: uncultured bacterium
Lineage: Bacteria
Description: partial 16S ribosomal RNA
Rfam family: Bacterial small subunit ribosomal RNA
Source: RNAcentral